Non-coding RNA from Pelobates cultripes (western spadefoot toad), 74 nucleotides. Lineage: Eukaryota; Metazoa; Chordata; Amphibia; Anura; Pelobatidae. The record is from the annotation of a GenBank genome assembly.
CUGCAUUAUAUACACACUACACAAACACACUGCAUUAUAUACAGUGUUUGUGUAGUGUGUAUAUAAUGCAGAGU